This 271-nucleotide long non-coding RNA is filed under the name Olea europaea (common olive). RNAcentral's name for it is "long non-coding RNA (OEUR_LNC001161)". Lineage: Eukaryota; Viridiplantae; Streptophyta; Magnoliopsida; Lamiales; Oleaceae. The record is from RNAcentral.
UGCAGAUAUUGUUUACUAAAUAAUUCUAUUUUUAUAUUUCCACAUUUAACUUAAGGAAAAGUAAAUUUUUCGUAACGUUCCGGUAUUUAUAGUAAAAUUGGGGCAUUACACUUCACUCGACGGACAUACAGAAUUUCAUUCAAAAUUCUACUCUUAGUUCAACUAGUAUACAACAGAGUUUGGGUCAUCUCGCUCCAGCUUACAGGUAAUGGAUUUUCUUGACACACAUUUUGCCACAAAAACCCUAGAGGCCGACCCAGUGUGAGCGACC